Molecule: ribosomal RNA, 209 nt
Filed under: uncultured bacterium
Lineage: Bacteria
Description: partial 16S ribosomal RNA
Rfam family: Bacterial small subunit ribosomal RNA
Source: RNAcentral
CAUCUAGGCGGUCAAUCAAGUCGAAGGUGAAACUUGUGGCUCAACCAUAAGCUUGCCUACGAAACUGAUUAACUAGAGUACUGGAGAGGUGGACGGAACUACACGAGUAGAGGUGAAAUUCGUAGAUAUGUGUAGGAAUGCCGAUGAUGAAGAUAGUUCACUGGACAGAAACUGACGCUGAAGUGACGAAAGCGUAAGGGGAGCAAACA